UACCCGCAGCUCAAGUGGUGGUCAUUAUUAUUGGGCCUAAAGCGUCCGUAGCUGGUUUGUUAAAUGCCUGGGUAAAUCGAUGCGCUUAACGUAUCGAAUUCCGGGUAGACUGGCAAACUCGAGACCGGGAGAGGUGUAGGCUACUCGAGGGGUAGGGGUAAAAUCCUGUAAUCCUUCGGGGAGGACCAGUGGCGAAGGCGCUACACUAGAACGGCUCUGACAGUGAGGGACGAAGCCCUGGGGCGCAAACCGG
This 253-nucleotide ribosomal RNA is filed under the name uncultured bacterium. RNAcentral's name for it is "partial 16S ribosomal RNA". It matches the Rfam family "Archaeal small subunit ribosomal RNA", at positions 474 to 727 of the family's 1478-position model. The record is from RNAcentral.